GGUGCGCGCGGCGCCUCAACUCCUCUCCCGGGGCCACUUCCCUCCGCGUGCACAGGGGAGGACACCCCUCGCUCAUCCGUGUGCACCUCUGGGGACGCGUCCGCAGCCGCAGCCGCCCCUGACCGAAAGUGCGCACUUCUCGCCUUAAACACGGCAGCACGGCAUGUUUCCCAGCCCUUCCCUGCCUCUCCUCUCUUCUUAUUCCAGGAUUCUGGGGCGCCAGACAGGUCCGAAGUGCCUAGAACAGUGUUCUGUAUGUGGGAGAUAUUCAAGACACACUUCCUGAAUGAAAAAAUGAAUGAAUGGCUCUCAAGUCAAGCUGGCUGGGUUCACAGUCUGUCCCUGCCAUCAACUAGUGAUGGGGUUUGUCAGAGGCUUAAAUUGGAUGACCCUUGGAAAGCUCUCUGGGCAGGGCCCUGACCUUGCUGGCUUUUCCCAUGUACAAGUGAGUGUGAGCCUGGGGAGGUCCGAGGAGGACGCCACAGAGAGCCUGGGAUCCCUCUGACUCCUUCGGGACGCCCAGCUCCACCGUCCUCCUCAGCUCUGUGCUCCCUGAAUCGCUGCUGCUUCCACAGGAUUCCAGAUGCUUCCCAGGCCUUGCCUCCAGCAUGACAGAUGCGUUUCAGGGGCAGCAGCUGCACUUGUCUGAGCCCCCUUUGCAGAUGCAGCCCCGGGCACACUUGGCACAGCCCGGGGGGCAGCAAGGACAGCAGCCUGGAAGGGUCAGAAG
Molecule: long non-coding RNA, 730 nt
Organism: Hyaena hyaena (striped hyena)
Lineage: Eukaryota; Metazoa; Chordata; Mammalia; Carnivora; Hyaenidae
Exons: 4
Source: RefSeq, a predicted model, not a curated record